GUCAACCGCCACCUGCCAGCCGGCUGCAUUAGCGAUCUCCAGCGCCAAGUCCCGAUCCCAGUACUCCACCGGCAAUUGAGGGAGACAAACCUAAGCAACUACCCUGUUCACACUCUUUGCCCCAGGGAUGAAGUCCGGCUGCCACCUAUCCAUGGCGUGGAGUUAGCCGGCGACCAUCCACAGGCCGUUCCCCAUCGGCGCCUCCCUAUCGGCCUCAUUCUUGAAACGUAUCAACAGAUGCUCCUCCGCCAUCAAUAUGGCUUCGGGGUCAUAGCCGAGGUUUCCCUUAGCACGGAGUUCCCGAACCACCUGCUGCUCCGGCACCCACCUCCCCAGACUGCGCAUUAUGACGGCGUGGAGCUCCAUGCCAUCUGAGCUCUCCCCAAUCUUUCUGACGGUAUCACCAACACCUCAGUGUAGUGCCGCUGCAGGAUCUUCAACUCCUCGUCGGAGAUAUGGUGAUUAGACCAAGACCAAGAGUCUCUUCGUGCGGGGCCUCUGGCGACCUCGACCCAUGGCUUGUUGAUGACAGCUACCUCUGCCGCCGGGCGCUCGCCGUCGGCUCUUUCCUCAGCACCAUCCCCCUUCACCAUCUCCAGUUGAUAAUCUCCCAUGAUAACGCACCCAGGGUGUUCGACAGAAAUCCGCACUCAAACA
Molecule: long non-coding RNA, 657 nt
Filed under: Phoenix dactylifera (date palm)
Lineage: Eukaryota; Viridiplantae; Streptophyta; Magnoliopsida; Arecales; Arecaceae
Description: long non-coding RNA (PDAC_LNC016467)
Source: RNAcentral